ACACACACACGUGAACCCACGAACACAUGAACACACACUGAUAGAAACUUCCUCACAGCUCAGUGUGUGUUCAUGUGUUCGUGUGUGUGUGUGUGUGUGU
This is a non-coding RNA of Xyrichtys novacula (pearly razorfish), 100 nucleotides long. The record is from the annotation of a GenBank genome assembly. NCBI's taxonomy places the organism in Eukaryota, Metazoa, Chordata, Actinopteri, Labriformes, Labridae.